GUUUCACAAUUAUACUGGCGAUAUUCGGUGACAUUACUAUUCCAGGCAUUUCGAGACCAGUGAGACAUCUUUUUUAAAAUUUCUUUCCAGGCUUGAGAAAGGACCUCAAUGUGGACAAACGUGUUACAAACAUCACAACGGAAACAUAACAGGUUGCCCCCCCGAUUGCACCCGGUGUGACUAUGCAAAUCCGGGGUUUCACCUUACUUUCGGUACUGGAGUAUGCAGUCCUUAACUUUGGGUUUAAGCGGCUGCAAACGAAACAAUUGACGUUUCAAGCCGCGCCUUAAGCUUAACUCAAUCGCUUCUCCUUUUUCUGCAAUAGGCUGGGCGCUAAUUAUUAACUCCACAAAAUUUUAUUCGCUCCCCUUAUAGAGCAGAAAUAAUAACUUGGAUGAGGGAAUGUCCUUAUUUUAGUGUAGUAAAGAUUUUGAUGCAGC
RNAcentral lists this long non-coding RNA (440 nucleotides) under Dermacentor andersoni. Its description in RNAcentral is "uncharacterized LOC126527383". Lineage: Eukaryota; Metazoa; Arthropoda; Arachnida; Ixodida; Ixodidae. The record is from RNAcentral.